RNAcentral lists this ribosomal RNA (253 nucleotides) under uncultured bacterium. Its description in RNAcentral is "partial 16S ribosomal RNA". It matches the Rfam family "Bacterial small subunit ribosomal RNA", at positions 524 to 776 of the family's 1533-position model. The record is from RNAcentral.
UACGGAGGAUCCGAGCGUUACCCGGAUUUAUUGGGCGUAAAGGGAGCGCAGGUGGUUUCUUAAGUCUGAUGUGAAAGCCCACGGCUCAACCGUGGAGGGUCAUUGGAAACUGGAAAACUUGAGUGCAGAAGAGGAAAGUGGAAUUCCAUGUGUAGCGGUGAAAUGCGCAGAGAUAUGGAGGAACACCAGUGGCGAAGGCGACUUUCUGGUCUGUAACUGACGCUGAUGUGCGAAAGCGUGGGGAUCAAACAGG